Molecule: small nuclear RNA, 110 nt
Organism: Candoia aspera
Lineage: Eukaryota; Metazoa; Chordata; Lepidosauria; Squamata; Candoiidae
Source: RefSeq, a predicted model, not a curated record
GUACACUUCGGCAGCACAUAUACUAAAAUUAGAAUGAUACAGAGAAGAUUAGCAUGGCCCCUACGCAAAGACGACAUGCACCUAGUUAUGAUUGUGUGCCUCAGAUCUUA